CCUACGGGAGGCAGCAGUGGGGGAUAUUGCACAAUGGGGGGAACCCUGAUGCAGCGACGCCGCGUGGGUGAAGGAGCGUUUCGGCGCGUAAAGCCCUAUCGGCAGGGAAGUAGAUGACGGUACCUGGCCCAGAAGCCCCGGCUAACUACGUGCCAGCAGCCGCGGUAAUACGGAGGGGGCAAGCGUUAUCCGGAUUUACUGGGUGUAAAGGGGGCGCAGUCGGCAGUGCAAGCCAGGAGUGAAAGCCCGGGGGCCAACCCCGGGACUGCUCUUGAAACUGCAUGGCUGGAGUACAGGAGGGGCAGGCGGAAUGCCUGGUGUAGCGGUGAAAUGCGUAGAUAUUAGGAGGAACACCGAUGGCGAAGGCGGCCUGCUGGACUGUGACUGACGUUGAGGCCCGAAGGCGUGGGGAGCAAACAGGAUUAGAUACCCUUGUAGUC
RNAcentral lists this ribosomal RNA (440 nucleotides) under uncultured bacterium. Its description in RNAcentral is "partial 16S ribosomal RNA". It matches the Rfam family "Bacterial small subunit ribosomal RNA", at positions 338 to 795 of the family's 1533-position model. The record is from RNAcentral.